Long non-coding RNA from Dendronephthya gigantea, 863 nucleotides. RefSeq lists it as uncharacterized. The record is from RefSeq and is a predicted model, not a curated record. The transcript has 6 exons. Lineage: Eukaryota; Metazoa; Cnidaria; Anthozoa; Malacalcyonacea; Nephtheidae.
UUAGACGAAAGUUAUAUAACGGACUAAAACAACGAUUCAAGAAUUUUUAAAGGAUAAGAGAGUUUACGAUGUUGAUAAAUUGUCAGAUAAUGAUGGUUCUCGUAUCAAAUGCUUCCUCGUUUAAAGCCUCUAAUAGGAAAGUAUCGAUGAUAAAGCUGAUAUGCUGCUUCAAUGGUCUGUCAAUACUUAAAUUUUUUAGUUAGGAUAUAGAAGAUGAACUACUUGAAAUUCUCCAAAUAAUCUGAUCAAUUUAUCAGGUCGACAAACCUUCAGUGUCGACGACAUCCAAAAGGCUAUACAAUACGAAGACAUACGAAAUAAUACGGAAAGCGACGACAAUGGAUCAUGGGCGCAUGCGUAUAUCGUGUCGUACAAAACAGGGCGAAAUUACUUUCCCAAACAUGGCGGCGAAAAAUGUUGUUAUUUAGUUGGUGUGAAGUCAAGAGAAACAACAGUAAGAACCAUACUGCCAUAUGAAAAUUUCUAAAGCAGCAGCUGAGAAAUAACCAGAUCUAAAGCUCAAAGAGCAACAAUUAGCAGGGAGAUACACAAGAACUAUGGCUUCUAGUUCCAGUGACACACAAAGUAAUCUCUCAUCAUCAGGAGGGUACACCGUGCCUGUACCAUUAAUCAUAUUUGGGAUUCAAGAAGGUACCAAUCUUCCAACAGGCGUGCCAGACACCAUUGACAAAGAGCUACGGCCCUCAAGAGGACGUAUGCCCACCCAAGAGAGUAAAAAAACUCCUCCAAACAUUAAAGACGGUGAAAGAGAUCCGAUAGCUUUAUAAAUAAUUUUGAAUUGUGUCAAUAUCGAUAUAUGCUCUGAUAGAGUAAUCAUAAAGUAAUCUUAAAAUAAUAUAAUU